GAACCGUUCAGGGGUAAACCUGAGAAACCCAAAAGAUCGAAUGGGGAGAUUCAUCGUCGGCUUAUCCGGUAUAUGUGCAAGUUGUGAUAUAUAAAUUUUUCGAAAUUUUGUACUCGCUUGUGUCAUUUAAUUGCUGGAUAUUUGUCGGCGUGCACUUCUCCCUUAGUAGGACGUCGCGACCCGUUGGAUGUCAAUCUAUGUCCCAAUUGGUAGCCUUUGAUAAUGUUUUUAUUAAUAUUAUCGAAGACCAUUGGUGUAUUAUACUGAUUGACUGUCCGACGGUAUGCGCAUGGUAUUGAGCCGCAUAAUAUGUGCGUCGAGCGUGUAACAAGUGUGAUCAGUGUCUAACCUUGCAGUAUGGACUUUGUUCCGUCGUGAGGCCUGAUUCGCUGUUGGUUUACAUUGUUCUUCGACUGGCUCAAAAUAUAAAAAAUACCGGUCGGCGACGCUACUGCUUUGGUACUUCAGGA
RNAcentral lists this ribosomal RNA (470 nucleotides) under Macrocentrus sp. MD-1997. Its description in RNAcentral is "eukaryotic LSU rRNA". Lineage: Eukaryota; Metazoa; Arthropoda; Insecta; Hymenoptera; Braconidae. The record is from RNAcentral.